Long non-coding RNA from Herpailurus yagouaroundi (jaguarundi), 123 nucleotides. RefSeq lists it as uncharacterized. The record is from RefSeq and is a predicted model, not a curated record. The transcript is spliced from 3 exons. NCBI's taxonomy places the organism in Eukaryota, Metazoa, Chordata, Mammalia, Carnivora, Felidae.
AAAUGACAUUUCUGACAGCUGGGUUAGCAUGAAGGGUCACUCAGAAGCAAGUGAGAACAGAGGGAGCUUCGGAGAUGGGGAAUGGGCACCACUAGCCGAAGAGCACACAGCUGAACUCCUGUC